CCACAUGGGCACAAUGUGUGAAGCCCAUUUCUGGUAUUCAGAUAUUCUUACCCAUAUUAUCCAGUACUGUGAUCACUUGACUGACCUCCGCGAUGAACUGUGGUGUGAGAUCAUAGCUAUUGGUAGUGUGGAAUUCAGUGUGCAUCUCCACAACCUUAAUGA
This is a long non-coding RNA of Haliotis rubra (blacklip abalone), 162 nucleotides long. RefSeq lists it as uncharacterized. The record is from RefSeq and is a predicted model, not a curated record. The transcript is spliced from 3 exons. Lineage: Eukaryota; Metazoa; Mollusca; Gastropoda; Lepetellida; Haliotidae.